GAUGAACGCUGGCGGCGUGCCUAAUACAUGCAAGUCGAGCGGACGGACGAGAAGCUUGCUUCUCUGAUGUUAGCGGCGGACGGGUAAGUAACACGUGGAUAACCUACCUAUAAGACUGGGAUAACUUCGGGAAACCGGAGCUAAUACCGGAUAAUAUUUUGAACCGCAUGGUUCAAAAGUGAAAGACGGUCUUGCUGUCACUUAUAGAUGGAUCCGCGCUGCAUUAGCUAGUUGGUAAGGUAACGGCUUACCAAGGCAACGAUGCAUAGCCGACCUGAGAGGGUGAUCGGCCACACUAGAACUGAGACACGGUCCAGACUCCUACGGGAGGCAGCAGUAGGGAAUCUUCCGCAAUGGGCGAAAGCCUGACGGAGCAACGCCGCGUGAGUGAUGAAGGUCUUCGGAUCGUAAAACUCUGUUAUUAGGGAAGAACAUAUGUGUAAGUAACUGUGCACAUCUUGACGGUACCUAAUCAGAAAGCCACGGCUAACUACGUG
This 497-nucleotide ribosomal RNA is filed under the name uncultured bacterium. RNAcentral's name for it is "partial 16S ribosomal RNA". It matches the Rfam family "Bacterial small subunit ribosomal RNA", at positions 28 to 507 of the family's 1533-position model. The record is from RNAcentral.